RNAcentral lists this ribosomal RNA (897 nucleotides) under uncultured bacterium. RNAcentral's name for it is "partial 16S ribosomal RNA". The record is from RNAcentral.
GACGUCGCAUGCUCCCGGCCGCCAUGGCGGCCGCGGGAAUUCGNNNCCGUCAAUUCAUUUGAGUUUUAACCUUGCGGCCGUACUCCCCAGGCGGUCUACUUAGCGCGUUAGCUUCGCUACGCACGUCUUAAAGACACACACAGCUAGUAGACAGCGUUUACGGUGUGGACUACCAGGGUAUCUAAUCCUGUUCGCUACCCACACUUUCGCACAUGAGCGUCAGUCUUUGGCCAGGGAGUCGCCUUCGCCACUGAUGUUCCUCCAGAUAUCUACGCAUUUCACCGCUACACCUGGAAUUCCACUCCCCUCUCCAAGACUCUAGUCGGCCAGUUCUAAAUGACCACCCCAGGUUGAGCCCGGGGCUUUCACAUCUAGCUUAACAAACCGCCUGCGUGCGCUUUACGCCCAGUAAUUCCGAUUAACGCUCGCACCCUCCGUAUUACCGCGGCUGCUGACACGGAGUUAGCCGGUGCUUCUUCUGUUGUUAACGUCACGGCUAGCAGGUAUUAACUACUAACUUUUCCUCACAACUGAAAGUGCUUUACAACCCGAAGGCCUUCUUCACACACGCGGCAUGGCUGCAUCAGGGUUUCCCCCAUUGUGCAAUAUUCCCCACUGCUGCCUCCCGUAGGCAAUCACUAGUGAAUUCGCGGCCGCCUGCAGGUCGACCAUAUGGGAGAGCUCCCAACGCGUUGGAUGCAUAGCUUGAGUAUUCUAUAGUGUCACCUAAAUAGCUUGGCGUAAUCAUGGUCAUAGCUGUUUCCUGUGUGAAAUUGUUAUCCGAUCACAAUUCCACACAACAUACGAGCCGGAAGCAUAAAGUGUAAAGCNNNNNGUGCCUAAUGAGUGNNNUAACUCACAUUAAUUGCGUUGCGCUCACUGCCCGCUUUCCAGUCG